Molecule: ribosomal RNA, 246 nt
Filed under: uncultured Lactobacillus sp.
Lineage: Bacteria; Bacillati; Bacillota; Bacilli; Lactobacillales; Lactobacillaceae
Description: partial 16S ribosomal RNA
Rfam family: Bacterial small subunit ribosomal RNA
Source: RNAcentral
CGUGGGUAACCUGCCCAAGAGAUCGGGAUAACACCUGGAAACAGAUGCUAAUACCGGAUAACAACAGAUGAUGCCUAUCAACUGUUUAAAAGAUGGUUCUGCUAUCACUCUUGGAUGGACCUGCGGUGCAUUAGCUAGUUGGUAGGGUAACGGCCUACCAAGGCGACGAUGCAUAGCCGAGUUGAGAGACUGAUCGGCCACAUUGGGACUGAGACACGGCCCAAACUCCUACGGGAGGCAGCAGCC